GUGCCCACUUUGGUAGCACCUAAACUAAAACUGGAAUGAUCUAGAGAAGAUGAGCAUGGCCCCUGCAUGAGAUGACCCCCCAAUCUGCGAAGCGUUCCAGUAAAAA
Molecule: small nuclear RNA, 106 nt
Organism: Nycticebus coucang (slow loris)
Lineage: Eukaryota; Metazoa; Chordata; Mammalia; Primates; Lorisidae
Source: RefSeq, a predicted model, not a curated record